GGAGAGGACUGGUUUUUGUGUGGAUUGUGUAAUUCAUUCAUUCAUUCAUUUUUGGCCACCCCAUGGCACAUGGAGUUCCCGGGCUGGGAAUCAGAUCCGAGCUGAAGUUGUGACCUAAGCCAUGGCUGUGGCAAUGCUGGAUCCUUAACCCGCUGUGCUGGGCUGGGAAUCGAACCUGCAUUCCAGUGCUCCUAAGAUGCCCCCAAUCCGGUUGCUCCCCCAAGGGAACACCUGUGUGUUUUUUUUUGUUUGUUUGUUUGUUUUUUAUUUUUUUUUAACUGUUGAAUUGAAGAGUGAUAUACUUGCAAAAUAAAAAUGUGCUCCUAUCAGGCAUAGACACCUUGGCAGUGAGCAUGCCCACAUUAUCAUCCCUCAAGCUAUAAGCUUAUGCUUUUUGCUGAUUUUAUGGGGAACAAACAGGUCUCACUGUAACUUGACUUUGUUUCCCAAUUUCUAGUGAGGUUGAGCAUCCAAUUUCCAUUCAUAUUUACUCUUUUGUAAAUUGAUACCAACAGCUAACACUUCUCGAAGGUUUCCCAUGAGCCAGAUAUUCUUCUAGGUGCUUUGCUCGCAUCAACUCACAUAAUCCUCACAGUGGUCCUUUAUGAUAUGCUGUUAUUAUCUGCACUUUGCUGGGGAGGAAACUGAGGCAGUUACAUGGCUAGUUACUUCCCAUAGUUACAUAAUUAGUCAGUGGUGAAGCCAGAAUUUGAAUCUGGACAGUCUGGUUCAGUGUUUGGGUUCAUAAUCUCUGUGCUAUCCCUAUAUAUAUAUAUAUGAUUCAUGUUUUAGGGAUCUGUUACUGUAUAACUCAUGACUCCUAGACUUAGCUGGAAAUGGCAACCAUGUAUUAGCUCAUAAUUUCUGAGUAUCAGAGAUCGGGGAGGGGCUUAGCUAUGUUGCUCUGUGUGUCAGGAUGUCUCAUGAAGUCAAGUUGUCAGCUGUGGCUGUGGUCAUCUGAAGAUUUGACUGGGGCUGGAGAAUCUGCUUCCAUGGUGGGUCACGACAUGGCUACUGCAUCCUCAGUUCCUUGCUGCAUGGACCAUUCCAUAGAAAUCAGGAGGAAUGUUCCUGGAGUUUAGUGACAGCCCUGAAUGUUAUUGGCAGAUGCAAAGUUGAUUGUUAAACUGCUGUAUGGUAACGUGUCCAUAGACGCAUAGGACAAUUCCAGUCUCUUUGGUAACCUAUGUUUUUAUUUGCUAAAUCUAGUGACCCUGGAUGUGAGGGAAGGGGCCUGGAGGCAGGAAGGAAAACGGUGUCUGUGGGAAGAUCACAGGGGUCAGAGGCCUUAGCAUAAUGUGGGUGUGAGGAAAACAGACGUGCAUUUGCAUUUCCUGUGUGGGUACAGUGUGAGAAAAGCAUGAAGUAAAGCUUCAAAAUAGGUAGAGUCCAGUUUUUUGCUUUUUCUUUUCUUUGUAGG
This 1420-nucleotide long non-coding RNA is filed under the name Sus scrofa (pig). Its description in RNAcentral is "lncRNA (ENSSSCG00060023100.1)". Lineage: Eukaryota; Metazoa; Chordata; Mammalia; Artiodactyla; Suidae. The record is from RNAcentral.